RNAcentral lists this ribosomal RNA (262 nucleotides) under uncultured bacterium. RNAcentral describes it as "partial 16S ribosomal RNA". It matches the Rfam family "Bacterial small subunit ribosomal RNA", at positions 524 to 780 of the family's 1533-position model. The record is from RNAcentral.
UACGUAGGGAGCAAGCGUUGUCCGGAUUUAUUGGGCGUAAAGAGCUCGUAGGCGGUUUAGAAAAGUCAGGUGUGAAAACUCUGGGCUCAACCCAGAGACGCCAUUGAUACUUCUAUGACUUGAGUUCGGUAGGGGACCAUGGAAAUUCCUGGUGUAGCGGUGAAAUGCGCAGAUAUCGGGAGGAACACCGGUGGCGAAGGCGGUUCUACUGGGCCUUACCUGACGCUGAGGAGACGAAAGCGUGGGGAGCGAAACAGGAUUG